Abrus precatorius (Indian licorice) is the source of this 3625-nucleotide RNA transcript. It is a transcript of the gene named importin-11, with no coding region annotated. NCBI's taxonomy places the organism in Eukaryota, Viridiplantae, Streptophyta, Magnoliopsida, Fabales, Fabaceae. The transcript has 24 exons. The record is from RefSeq and is a predicted model, not a curated record.
UAUAUAUAUAUAUAUAUAAAUAUUUAUAUAUAUAUAUAUAUAUAUAUAUACAUAUAUCUUCCAUUUUCAUUUGCAGUUAUUAUUAGCUGCAAGAAUCCUACUUCCACUUAACAUCGAUUUCACUGUCAAAUCUUGCACAAACCAAAGAGUUCUAUUCGACCAUCCUCGCCGAUGGCGGUUUCAGCCUCCGACGUGGCAGUGAUGUACUCGUUGCUCGCGAAUUCCAUGAGCGCCGAUCACCGCCUACGUGGCCCUGCAGAGGAUACCCUUGCUCAAUUGGAGUCCAGGCCUGGCUUCUGCUCCUGCCUCCUCGAAGUGAUUAUGGCCAAGGAUUUGGCGUCGCAGGCGGAUGUGCGAAUGAUGGCCACCGUAUAUUUCAAGAACAGCAUCAAUCGCUAUUGGCGCCAUCGCCGCGAUUCCUGGGGAAUUGGCAAUGAGGAGAAAAUGCAUCUGAGGCAGAAGUUGUUGAUGCACCUGAGAGAAGAGAAUGAUCAGAUAGCUCUGAUGUUGGCAGUGCUUAUCUCCAAAAUUGCUCGCAUUGAUUAUCCCAAAGAAUGGUCAGACAUCUUUUUGGUUUUGUCACAACAACUUCAAUCAGCAGAUGUUCUUGCCUCCCACCGAAUCUUUUUGAUUCUAUUUAGGACCUUAAAGGAGUUGUCCACAAAACGCCUUACAUUGGACCAACGCAACUAUGCAGAGAUAUCAUCCCAUUUCUUUGAUUAUAGCUGGCGCCUUUGGCAAAGUGAUGUGCAGACAAUACUGCAUGGUUUCUCAGCUCUUUCUCAAAGCUAUAAUUUAAAUGCUGAAGAUCAGCAUCAUGAACUUUAUCUUACAUGUGAGAGAUGGUUGUUAUGUUCAAAGAUUGUACGGCAAUUAGUUAUUUCUGGAUUUCAAAGCGAUUCAAAGUGUUUUCAGGAGGUUCGGCCAGUCAAGGAAGUCUCACCUGGGCUCUUAAGUGCCAUUCAAUCAUUCCUUCCAUACUAUUCAUCUUUUCAGAAGCAAUAUCCUAAAUUUUGCGACAUUGUAAAGAGGGCAUGUACCAAAUUGAUGAAAAUUUUAGUUGCCUUUCAUGGACGACAUCCUUACUCAUUUGGUGAUAAAUUUGUGCUUUCAUCAGUCAUGGACUUCUGUUUGAAUAGGAUAACAGAUCCUGAGCCAAAUUUGUUGUCAUUUGAGCAAUUUCUCAUUCAAUGUAUGGUAAUGAUUAAGAAUAUUCUGGAAUGUAAGGAAUACAAGCCAAGUCUUACUGGUCGGGUGAUGGAUGAAAAUGGAGUUACGCUAGAGCUGAUGAAGAAAAACAUUUCCAAUGCAGUUGGUGGUGUUUUAACUUCCCUUCUUCCCAAUGAAAGGAUUGUCCACUUGUGUAAUGUAUUGAUUACAAGGUAUUUUGUUCUGACAGCAAGUGAUUUGGAGGAGUGGUACCGCAACCCGGAGUCUUUUCACCAUGAGCAGGAUAUGGUUCAGUGGACAGAAAAAUUGAGACCAUGUGCUGAAGCUUUGUACAUCGUGUUGUUUGAAACUAAUAGCCAAUUGUUAGGUCCUGUUGUGGUUUCUCUUCUUCAUGAGAGUAUGAAUAAUUGUCCAACUUCAGUAACAGAAAUUGCUCCUGCAUUGCUUCUUAAAGAUGCUACAUAUGGUGCUGCAGCUUAUGUUUAUUAUGAGCUCUCAAACUACCUGAGCUUUAAAGACUGGUUUAAUGGUGCUCUAUCACUUGAACUCUCAAAUGAAAAUCCAAAUUUAGGCAUCAUUCAUCGUAAAGUUGCUGUAAUUUUAGGGCAGUGGGUUUCUGAGGUGAAAGAUGAUACAAAAAGGCCUGUAUACUGUGCUUUAAUCAGAUUGUUACAGGGCAAAGAUUUAUCUGUCCGGCUGGCAGCCUGUCGAUCCCUAUGUUUACAUGUUGAAGAUGCAAACUUUUCAGAGAGGGAGUUUGUUGAUCUUCUUCCUAUCUGUUGGGACUCAUGUUUUAAGUUGUUUGAGGAAGUUCAGGAAUUUGACUCAAAGGUUCAGGUUUUGAAUCUAAUCUCUACCCUUAUCGGACAUGUUAGUGAAGUUAUUCCAUUUGCUAACAAGCUGGUGCAAUUUUUUCAGAAGGUCUGGGAGGAAUCUUCUGGUGAAAGUCUGCUGCGGAUUCAGCUUCUUGUUGCUAUGAGAAAUUUUGUGGUUGCACUUGGUUACCAGUCACCCAUUUGCUACAAUAUACUGCUACCAAUUCUGGAGAAUGGGAUUGAUAUUAAUAGUCCAGAUGAAAUCAAUCUUCUGGAAGAUAGCAUGCUGUUAUGGGAGGCCACACUUUCCCAAGCACCAUCAAUGGUGCCUCAAUUGUUGCAAUAUUUUCCACGUCUUGUGGAGAUUAUGGAAAGAAACUUUGACCAUUUACAGGUUGCGGUGAACAUAAUUGAAGAUUACAUAAUUUUGGGUGGAAAUGACUUUUUGAGCGUGCAUGCAACAAAUAUUGCUAAAAUUCUUGAUUUAGUUGUGGGAAAUGUCAAUGACAAAGGUCUACUUUCAGUUCUUCCUGUAGUUGAUAUCUUAAUACAGUGUUUCCCCACAGAGGUGCCACAAUUUAUUAGCAGUACAUUACAAAAAUUAAUUGUAAUAUGUUUUGGCGGAGGAGAUGAUCGCGACCCUUCUAAAGCAUCUGUUAAAGCAUAUGCUGCUGCAAUCCUGGCUAGGCUUUUGGUGAUGAAUACAAAUUCACUUGCCCAACUAGCAUCUGAUCCAUCAACUUCUCUACUGCUUCAGACAGCAUCUAUCCCAGUUCAAGAAAAUAUACUUCUUUGUCUGGUUGACAUUUGGGUUGAUAAGGUGGAUAAUGUUUCUUCCAUCCAGAAGAAGACAAUUGGCUUAGCCCUCUCAAUAAUUCUGACAUUAAGGCUGCCUCAAGUACUUGACAAACUCGAUCAAAUUUUGAGUGUUUGCACUAGUGUAAUUUUGGGCAGAAAUGAUGACUUAGCUGAGGAAGAGUCCAGUGGUGACAUGAGCUCCAGUACAUCCCCUGAUGAGGGCACUAUUCCUAGUAAAGAAUUCAGAAAAAGACAGAUCAAAUUUUCAGACCGUAUCAAUCAGCUAUGUCUUGAGGAUUGUGUGAGAGAAAAUCUACAAACAUGUGCUGCUAUUCAUGGAGAAUCAUUUAAUGCUGCAAUGAGCAGCAUGCAUCCAUCUGCAUUUGCACAAUUGAAGCAAGCAUUAAAGAUGCCAUGACGGGGUGUGACAUUUUAAUUCAUUUGAUCUGGUGGUGCUAUGUGCAGGCUCAGUUUUUGUGUUCAUAGAUUGAUACUUAUAGGGAUGAUAUUGAAGCUUAUUACUUGGACUGGUGAUUUUUGACACACUUGUUUAGAAUUGUUUCUAGGCCAUGUUUUUUUCCCAUUAUAAUCAUUUUAAUUUGUCUAUGCCUGUUGGCAGCGUGAAACUCAGUAAAUAGGAUGCUGUUCCUUUACUAUAUAUAAAAAGGAGCAGCAUCGAGUCCAUAGUGUUCAUUUACUCUGCUCAGAUUGACAGGAAACAUGAAAUGCUUGUAAUGCUGUUUUGCACACAUUCGGAUGGAUAGUGCAAAUUUUACCGAAAGUUUUAUGAAUUGCAGGUUUUACCUUGGGUAAUCUUUAUAUGCACGACACUCUUUCUGGCG